RNAcentral lists this ribosomal RNA (492 nucleotides) under uncultured bacterium. RNAcentral describes it as "partial 16S ribosomal RNA". It matches the Rfam family "Bacterial small subunit ribosomal RNA", at positions 29 to 507 of the family's 1533-position model. The record is from RNAcentral.
AGUGAACGCUGGCGGUAGGCCUAACACAUGCCAGUCGAACGGCAGCACAGUAAGAGCUUGCUCUUACGGGUGGCGAGUGGCGGACGGGUGAGGAAUACAUCGGAAUCUACUUUUUCGUGGGGGAUAACGUAGGGAAACUUACGCUAAUACCGCAUACGACCUACGGGUGAAAGCAGGGGAUCUUCGGACCUUGUGCGAUUGAAUGAGCCGAUGUCGGAUUAGCUAGGUGGCGGGGUAAAGGCCCACCAAGGCGACGAUCGGUAACUGGUCUGAGGGGAUGAUCAGCUAGACUGUAAGUGAGACACGGCCGAGACUCCUACGGGGGGCAGCAGUGGGGAAUAUUGGACGAGGGACGAAAGCCUGAUCCAGCCAUACCGCGUGAGUGAAGAAGGCCUUCGGGUGGGAAAGCCCUGUUGUUGGGAAAGAAAAGCAGCAGGUUAAUACCCCGCUGUUCUGACGGUACCCAAAGAAUAAGCACCGGCUAACUUCGUG